This 324-nucleotide ribosomal RNA is filed under the name Triticum aestivum (bread wheat). RNAcentral describes it as "partial small subunit ribosomal RNA". Lineage: Eukaryota; Viridiplantae; Streptophyta; Magnoliopsida; Poales; Poaceae. The record is from RNAcentral.
CUACACCAACUCAAACAGCCUCGCGUCCUCCUCAAGCUCGACAUCGCUCGAGCUUUCGAUUCGGUCUCCUGGCCCUUUCUUCUCCAGGUCCUCCAACACUUAGGCUUUGGCCCACGUUGGUGUGAGUGGGUUACCAUCCUCAUAUCUACAGCUUCUACGCGAGUCUUGAUCAACGGCACCCCAUGCCCGCCUAUUGCCCAUUGCAAAGGCCUUCGGCAAGGAGAUCCCGUUUCCCCGAUGCUUUUCGCCUUGGUGAUUGAUGCCCUGAACUCCCUCCUUCAGCAUGUCGUGGCAUCCGGCGUCCUCAAACAGCUCACUCAUUGA